Molecule: long non-coding RNA, 3376 nt
Filed under: Taeniopygia guttata (zebra finch)
Lineage: Eukaryota; Metazoa; Chordata; Aves; Passeriformes; Estrildidae
Description: lncRNA (ENSTGUG00000023376.1)
Source: RNAcentral
CUUUUUUUUUUUUUUUUUUUAAUUUACUAGUUCCUACAUUAAUUUUUCUCUUCUGUGUUUAAAGCCUACAAAAAAGUAUUCUCAUUGACUGUACUUGUAUAGUAAUGAGCUCUUCUGGAUCAGAGUCUGGAGAUACAGAAAUAUCCCUGGCACAAGAAUGGAAAACAUGUUUACUCUAGAUGCAAAAUAAGUUGUAAAAAGUUUUUAUUUUAUUUUUUAACUUGCACUCACUCCCAAAGCCAAUGAAGUUGCAGAAUACUUCAGGAAGUUGAAAGUAGUGUUACAGUAGAAGGAAAAAAAAAUAGAAAGAAAGAAAAGCAACUCUUAUGAACUGAGACUAAUAUGAACUAAGAAGUAAUUUGCACUGAAACCUUACACUGGAGUGAAGAUGCAAGUUAGGUUAUAUUCAGAUUACUCAUGAGGAAUUAUGAACAAAACCCAAUGGGAAAAUGCAAUCCUAAUCAGCUGGAUAUACCCAUAUGAUACCAGUCCUGAGGUACCCAAACCUUCUUCUUGGGUCCACAUCUAAGUGUUAAUUCCUCUCUACCAAAAAAAGAAACCAACCAACCAAUCCCCCCCCAACAUAUUGCUACAGCUCUCACAUUCAGUCAAGACUGGAUCCAGUUUCCAGCAAAGACCAGUUUCACAGGUAAGAACCACAACAUCAGCUAGAAAAUAAAUAAAAAAAUAAACAAACAGGCAAAUAACUAACUAACUAACCAACUAAAUUAAUUACUGCAUGUGAAACACCUUAUUUAACUCUAGAACUUACUCUCUGAUGAAAAUGGAGUUUUAUAUGCCAAAUACUUGGCAAAAACUAUACUGGCGAAAAUUAUGCAAUUAUUGUUGGCGAUGCCUCUCUGGCACUUGAAAAGAAAUGCAGGACUUCCUGCAGUUUGAAGAGAGGUUAGAUCCCUUAUCUGUGCCACAGGAAUGUGACAUGAUAGUUCUUAUACAAACAUGUAAGUCCAGGCUUUGACAAUGCCUCCUGAGAAAUACCCAGUAACUUAUUUUUAGCACAAACACGAAGUAUAGGGACAACUGUGAGAGAUCAUUACCUGAAAUUUAGUAAAGACUUGGCAAAACAGUCAUAAAAAAAACCAAAAAAACAACUACUGGUCAGUCUGCCCAAAGUCAUACAGAUGCACUUGGGUCAAAGCAGCUGAAACUAAUUUGCUUUUCUCUUUGAUGGCCAUUAAACCUUAGUUAUGCUCCACUGAUUAGUUGAUCUAAUGGAGAGGUCAAUUUUCAUGAAAAGUGGUGGAUAGAAGAGCUAAGGAGAUGGGUCAUUUUUCAUUCAUGUAUUUGGCUUUGGCUUUAAAAGAAAUUGUCUUGCAAGAAGACUGAGAUAAAUACAGAAAAGUUUAAUUAAUGUUCUAACCUUUUUCCUCAUAAACUUCAACUCUAUCACACUAUUAUGCUUUGAUUAAUCUCAAAGAAAUAACCCCAGAAAAAAAAACAGGCUUAUGUCUGGAGUAAUCACAAUCAGAGUACAACAAAUAAUAUGCUGGCCAGUAAUUUAUCAAACAUCCCAUUUGAACUUCAAAAACUUUUUCCCAAGCUCAUCUUCUUGCCAAGCUCUGCUAGAUCCCCAGGAGAAAGGGAGAGGAAUGGUUUCCAGGGAUAUGUAGCAAGGGAUCCUUUCCAUCUUGAUAAUUGUGAGUUCUCUUACCCAGGGAUUAGGUACAGACUUUGUACACUGUUGCAGAAGAAGGAAUUUGGCUCUUCAAAUGGAUUUGAGAACCCACAAGUCAAAUAGUUCUUUUAUGCCAAUUUCACCAGCUUCUGUUUUAAAGAUACAAAUUCAAAUUUGGAUAUUUAAUUUAGCAAAAAAGCUAGAUAUAUUUUCUGAGAUCCAAGUAAAUGGCAAUUUGAGGUUUAAAAAAAAAACAUAGAUCUUUGAACUAUCAAAUAAAUUAAAGGAGUAUUUUAUAAUUAAACAUGUAUUUUGCCAAGGACAGAGUGACAGAAACAACUGAGUAGCACUCCUCUGCAAACAUUUCUGCUCUAGAUGACUGUAUCUACAAAACUAAAAAUUUGUGAGAUUUUUUUCUCUGAAUGAAAUGUCAGUGAUAAACUAGGAUAAAAGUCAGUAUGUAGCUAAAAGGCUCUUAUUAUGUUCCAUUUAACUGUCAUCACUCAGUAAUUGCAAAUACAAAUUACUGUAGCUUUACAGUCACCAAUCUGAGAUUAAAUACUUGGGAAAACUUCUGAAUGGACAUGCCAAAGUAAAUGGUCUCUGCCCUAGUUUCCUAAUAAUUUAGGCAUUGAAAUGCUGGGACAGAACAGAAUGGGGUGGAUUGACAAAUCUGGUACAGGGAAAGAAAAUGAAUUUGCUAGGCAAUACCAAAUCAUAAAUUGUCACUUAAUCAUCAAAGGACAUGUGGGGAACCCCUCAAAGGCGCAGACUACGCAUGUGGAAGUGUCCUAGUGCUGUACAUUAUGGCCUGUAUUUGUCAGGAUUUGAAAGCUCGACAGACUUUUUCUCCAUAUGUGUUACUUAACUGGGAACCAUGAUUUUCAAGACAAAUACAGUAUUUCAUAAAAAACACAGGAAUGAAGGAGCACUCUGGACACAUCAAUUUCUUAUAGCAAAUUUAAUCUCCCCCUUGAAAUGUUCACAUGAAGCACCACAUGGGUGCAGAGGCACACACAAAAGAAACCCUGGCAGAACAGUCUCCCACCUGCUUUGCUGAGGAGGGGAUGAUAAAGAAUAUUAGCUACAGGUGACAUAAUAGCCCUGCUGUUUUGGACACUCUUCGAAAGUGUCUUGAUACAGAAAUGGUAAGAAAGCUAGAAUUGACAAGAAUAGCAUGACUGGUAAAAAUAUGCUUAAGGAGGAAUAUGAGAUGAAUAAGAUAGAGGAGGUUUGGAAAAGGGAUACCAAAAUAAUCCAGUUUGGCUCAGCAUCCUUGGCAUUCAGGGGCACCCUGCUCCUGCCUGGAGAGGUAGUCACCACCCAUCCAGGCUGCUCUGCUUUCCAAAAAAGUGUGAAUUGGGCUUUUGAAACCAAACCACCUGGAAUUUGUAUCUGUAAUUUUAAUUGACUGAGAGACCCUUAAAGAGAGGGAGCUAAGCACAGCCUGCAGGUACACAAUGCCCGACAGCCAGUGUUAACAAGGAUAUACUUAGCUUGCCUGGAGAAACAAACAAGGACAGAAUUGAUAACUAUUUCAUGAAUGAGCUGUAACAUGUUGCUUUAAAAAGAUGCUGCCAGAAGAAAGAUACAAACAAAACAACACAUGUUAUUGAAGGGCAGUUGUUAUUAUCGGGACUAUUAGCAAAUGGAAAAAACUAUUAAAGCAGAAACAGUGUUAGAAAUCUAAUUCACUUUUCAGCAUUAAUGCUAUUUACUGCUUCACUCUUCUCUUAAGUU